UUUGGGUGAAGAAGAAAAAUGGGUUUGAAUUGGAUUGGAAUUUGAGUGAAAGGGGGAGUCUUAUAUAAGGAAGAAGAAGUGAGGGAACGACCAAGAACAAGAACAAUCAUAGGAGAUUGGAAAAAGAAUUUGGGGAAUUAAUAUUAGUUUAGGAUAGGGUUUGAGAAAAUUAAAAAUUAAGAAAAAAAGAAAGAAAAAAUAAUAAUAAUAAAGAAAGAAAGGAAGAGAAGAAGAUGAAUUUUGUUUUGUGUUGUGUGGAUGAAUGAUUGGUGAAUGGUGUCCUUAAAGGAAGGGAGAGUCAUUGCCUUAAGGAGACCACACACUACACUAGGAUAACAAAAAGAGAUCAAAAUAACCAUUAUGGAUAUCUUAGUACUUUACAUUGUAAAUUGUUAAAAAAAAAACUAGAAUUUGUUGUAUAAAAGACUAUAGUUUUUAGUUUUUGUCUCUAAAGAUCACCUAUAUGAUUAAAAGUUGUUUGGGUGGUUGUUAAACAAAAUUGGUAUGAGUUUUAUAAGGCAAGUUUAAAACAAAAUAUGUUUAGUUUAAAUUAGUUUUUACUUCAAUUUUAAAAUUAUAAAUAUAUAUUUUAUAAUUUAGGUUUUGGUUUUAACAUUUAUAUGUUGUCUCAUCACUAAUAGUCGAUUAAAAUAUAUUUAUAAAUAAUAUUUAUUUUGACAAUGUUAUGAUUUAAAAUCAAAUUUAAAUUUGAUUUUAAAAUUAAUUAUAAAAUUUAGCUUUUUAUUUUGAAAAUUUUAAAAUAUUAAAUCAAUUAAACUAUUUUAAAUCAAUUAAAUUAAAACAAAUGUGUCAAAUGUUUUAUUAAUCAAAUAUCUUAUAUAUAAAAAUUGUUAAACGACUUUGAAGUCAAAAUUAUGAUUAACUUAAUAAUUUAUUACUUCCCUAUAAAAUGAUUAAUGAUAUUAUAUAUAUAUAUAUAUAUAUAUAUAUAUAUAUAUAUAUAUAUAUAUAUAUAUAUAUAUAUAUAUAUAUAUAUAAUAUAUAUUAUAUAUAAUAUAUAUAUAUAUAGAUAAAAGAUGUUAAGUGAUCGUAAAUUUGAAGCCGAUCAGAGUUAAUUUAAUACUUUUUCAUUUUUUUUCUGGGUCCAUCGAAGGCCCAAAAUUAAAGUUCAACCGUACACAAUUUAAAUUAAGAUUAUCCACCAUGUGUUGGAGUGUUAACCUUUCAGGUCCACCACGUGUCAUCGUACCGGAGAUCGGUAUCAUUGAAUCCAGAGUCAUAUAUCAUCAAUUAACAUCAAUUCUGGUUCUAGUACGGAACAAUGACACUGUCUAAGAGGAUUGACGCCUAAUUCCCAUAAAAUUCUAAAAGGAGAUCAUUCUUGAUUCAAAGUCAGAUCUCAUCCAAAAACUUCGAGACGUGGAGAUAGUGACCUUCUAUAUCGCACUAAAGAACUUUAUUGAAUUUUUCAAUCUUGCUUCACCUUAAUUCUUAAUCAUCGAUGAGAUCCACACAAAAACAACGUUUGGCAGGAAUCUGCCAUCAUAACACCUCCUCCAAGCAACGACCGAUACCAGAUCGCAAAAGUGAGAGCUGACGCUAGGAUUUCUAGAUCGCGAGAUGGUAAAUGGAGUGUCAAAUGCGGAGUUGUUCUUAGUUAUAACAGUCAUCGUUGCAAAUUACACGACGGAAAUUCAUGUAUUGUCCUCUACAAUGGCCUGCUUGAGCGGCUAAAUAUCUGAAUGCUACAUAUUUAUCCAUACGAUGGCGAAGAUCUCCUAACCUUUAACGAUUUAGUAACUCACCUUCCUGAUAGUUUCCUGUAAGAGUUCCUUCAGUGGUAUCAUUGGUAGAUCUUUUAUGGAAAAACUAGACAUCAUGGUCUCUCCAGUUCACUUAAAGGUAACGCAUAAUAGGAGCGAAUGGAAGCCUGUUGUGAUCGACGCCGACUUGUAAGCGGCAACGCGUAUCAAAGAAGUCAUGUUCAACAACCUCUUCACCUCUUUGGUAGUGGACAAGGAAGGUUUGGGGAAAGCUAACGAUCCGAAGGGAUUUGACUCGUUUAUAAUUUGACCAGGUCUACGAAAAAAAGUCAAUAAAAGGGCACAUUCAUUACAUGGAUUCGGGAUAGUGUGGAUUUCUUCACUAUCUCCCUAUAUAAAUGUCUGAUAGAGACACCACCAUAGCAAGUCUUCGAUGAGGCACCGGUCCCAACUCGCAGUGCGUAAAAAAUGUAUUCUCUAAAGAAAAGCUAGAGUUGCAACCGACAUAUCCAAGAGGUAUAAGAUCCAAGGAUGUGAUUGACUCGGUUAGUCACAUCCAAUCAUUGUGAGUGAACAUCCACUAUAGGUAUGACCAAAUAUAUACGCUGAGAUGUGAUAUAAAGCAAACACCUAUCAUGUUCAAUUAAACCAACCAUUGGUACAUAACAAGAUGGGUAUCCCUUAAAACUAUUCAAAAUUUGAAACUACCAUAUCUCCUAACUAUAAGAAAUAUCAUGUGUGCUAACACCAUCAUAGCCUUUGGCAAGACGACAUAGACUGUGUUUAUGAAAUUGAGCCCUUCUCAGGAAUUCCUUCUGAUGGAACGUGCAUGAAGUGUAGCUGACGCAUCCCCUCGUAGGAACUAGCCACUCAAAGAGCAUAUGCGGAGGAAAUAUGAGACAUUCACCUAAAACUAGGAGAAACCAUGGGUGCAAGGACAAGAACCCGACCCUUGUUCGGGAACGGUUCCUAGUGAUGUUGGAGAACAACAUCAACUUUUAUCGAGCAGAAUCAGUGAUGAACAAAAUUAUUUGUUAUUCCAAUUCGCACUGGUCAUGAUUACAAAGUUUUGCGAACACGUUGAAUAUCACAACAAGACAUAAGACAAAUGACCUUAAAGACCUAGUGAAGAUAGCUUCAAUAGGACAAACUCCCAUUUAUAGAAACAAUCGAGUUAGAGCAUAGAAAGUGCAGAAACCAUAAAUUGGUUUGAGCCCAAAAGUCAAGCCAUCUACGAUACAAACAACAAAGUAGAAAAAAUAUGAGAAAAAUUAAAUAAAUCACAUCAUACACUGAGAAAAUAUUUAGGUGGAAAGGUAUAUAUAUAUAUAUAUAUAUAUAUAUAUAUAUAUAUAUAUANNNNNNNNNNNNNNNNNNNNNNNNNNNNNNNNNNNNNNNNNNNNNNNNNNNNNNNNNNNNNNNNNNNNNNNNNNNNNNNNNNNNNNNNNNNNNNNNNNNNNNNNNNNNNNNNNNNNNNNNNNNNNNNNNNNNNNNNNNNNNNNNNNNNNNNNNNNNNNNNNNNNNNNNNNNNNNNNNNNNNNNNNNNNNNNNNNNNNNNNNNNNNNNNNNNNNNNNNNNNNNNNNNNNNNNNNNNNNNNNNNNNNNNNNNNNNNNNNNNNNNNNNNNNNNNNNNNNNNNNNNNNNNNNNNNNNNNNNNNNNNNNNNNNNNNNNNNNNNNNNNNNNNNNNNNNNNNNNNNNNNNNNNNNNNNNNNNNNNNNNNNNNNNNNNNNNNNNNNNNNNNNNNNNNNNNNNNNNNNNNNNNNNNNNNNNNNNNNNNNNNNNNNNNNNNNNNNNNNNNNNNNNNNNNNNNNNNNNNNNNNNNNNNNNNNNNNNNNNNNNNNNNNNNNNNNNNNNNNNNNNNNNNNNNNNNNNNNNNNNNNNNNNNNNNNNNNNNNNNNNNNNNNNNNNNNNNNNNNNNNNNNNNNNNNNNNNNNNNNNNNNNNNNNNNNNNNNNNNNNNNNNNNNNNNNNNNNNNNNNNNNNNNNNNNNNNNNNNNNNNNNNNNNNNNNNNNNNNNNNNNNNNNNNAUAUAUAUAUAUAUAUAUAUAUAUAUAUAUAUAUAUAUAUAUAUAUAUAUUAUUCAGGUAAAGUUACAACACCACACUAAUAAUACAGAUAAAAUAAUAAAAUAGAAAGAAAGAAAAUCAAGCCCACCAUCCUGAGGCGCUACGUCGAGAUUUUCCAUCAACGCACUAUCUUGAACGACCUUGAACAGGUCAAGUUGUGAGCGGGGAGCGGUGAUGUCUGGGCAAAGAGAUUCCACCUGGUUAGUAGCCUAUUCGAAGGCCCCGUGCGCUUUAUUAAGUGUCUGCAAGAAGGAGUCGUGAACUUUUUUCCUCAACUCAGUCACCCAAUCAUCAUGAACUUCACAGUUUUUAGCUCGAGAUUCCUUAUCCUGGUGAAGAGCUUUCAAAGCCUCGUCGACAAAGGAUUUUAUGUCUACAACAACAGUGGCUGCCUUCGUUUGAGUUUCCUCUAUACCACUAGGAAGGAUUCGAUUUUGGCAAUCCGGACGGCCAAAGAAAAAGGGGAGGCAUGAAUCUUCGCCUCCUCUUGGAUAACCUCAGCAUGGCUAACCUUCUUCUAAAAGGCAUACAUAGCCUCUUAAAUCUUAGACCAUUUCUACUCCAUAGUUUAACACUUCCUUUUUCAAGUAUCCAUCUCCUUAAAAGAAUUUCCCAUGACCGAACAUCACCCAAACCAGCAGCGCAAGGAAGAAUAAAAAAAUCGUCAGAUCGAUGUAAAAGGUGGCUUCAAAAAGGAAAAAAUUAUAUAUUUUCCGCCUUAGAGAAAUUCUAAACAUAUAACACUAACAUAACAAAAAGACAAGACAAAACUAACUAUUAUGAUAUCUUAAUACUUUACAUUGCAAAUUGUUCCAAGAACUAGAUUUUGUUGUAAAACUAUAUAGUUUUGUUUAUGCCUCUGAAGAUCACCUAUAUGAUUAAGAGUUGUAUAGGGUGGUUGUAAAAAAAAUUGGUAUUAUAUUUACAAGUUAAUUUCAAAACAAAACAUGAUAAGUUUAAAUUAGUUUUUACUUCAUUUUUAAAACCAUAAAAAUAUAUUUUAUAAUUUAGGUUUUGGUUUUAACAUUUAUAUGUUGCCUAGUUUAAAUUAAUUUUUAUUUAAUUUUUAAAACCAUGAAAGUUUAUUUUAUAAUUUAGGUUUUGGUUUUAUCGUAUUUAUAUGUUGUCUAAUCACUACGAGUGAAUUAAAGUAUAUUUAAUUAAUAAUUAUUUUAAAGUUCUCAAGAUUUAAAAUCAAAUCUAAUUUUGAUUUUAAUUUUAUUUAAUUAGUUAAAAAAAUAUUUAUUUUUUUAAAAUAUAAAAUCAAUUAAACUGUUUUAAAUCAAUUGAAUUAAAAUAAAUAUGAGGUCAUUUUUCUCUAUUUUUUGUAUCGAAAAUCGAUGAGACGUCUAUUUUUUCUAUAUUUUUUAUGAUUAAAUAUGUAUGUAAUCUCAUUUAGUAUAUCAAAAAUUAUUUUUAAUUUCUUAAACUAUUUUUUUUCAAACAUUUGUAUUGAAAAUCAAUGAGACUUCUAUUUUUUCUAUGUUUCAUAUGAUUCACUGAUGGUCGUUUGCCACUCCAAAAUUCUUUAGUAACCUCAUUCUUCAACUUCUUGGUAGGGCGUCUGUUCAGUGGAAACAACUUCACCCCAUAAGGAUUUUGGCAAAUUCUUCUGCUUCAGCAUGCAUCUUUCCAUAUCCAAUAUGGUUUUGUUUCUUCUUUCUGCUAUUCCAUUAUGUUGAGGUGUGUACGGAGCAGUUACCUCAUGAUCAAUACCAUGUUCUGCACAGAAUUAGUCAAACAUCUUGGAUGUGUAUUUGCAACCUCCAUUUGUUUGCAAAACUAUGAUCUUCUCACUAUAGUUUUCGACAAGCAUCUUGAAUCUCUUAAAGAUUUCGAAUACUUCGUCCUUUCGCUUGAUCACAUAGAUCCACAAUUUUUGACUAAACUCAUUGAAAAACUAAACAAAAUACGUGUUUCCACCAAUGUUAUGCUCCUCAAAAGGAUCACAUACAUCUGAAUGUACAACUUCGAGUAUGCAAGAGGAUCUCAUUGGCAUAGUCAAAACGAAAGACUUUUUGGAUUGCUUUCCGACUAGACAACAUUCACUGAGUUUGUCAGGCAUCUCCAGACUUGGUAUACCAAUUACCAUAUAUUGAGUAAUCAAUUGAUUGAGUGAUCGAAAGUUCAAAUUUCCAAACCUCAAAUGCCACAACCAAUUACGCUUGUGGUCAACAACAAUUUUUAGACAUUGUACUUCAGUCGAACUGAUCAUGGUCUUGAAUGUCAUACUCUUCGGUAAAGGGGAUUUCAAAACCAAAUUAUUUUAGGCUUCAUCUUUCAUAAUCACUCAUAAACCUUUUUCGACCAGUUAUCCAACACUUAGCAUAUUACACUUAAUUCUAGAUACAUAGAGUACAUAUUUGAUCAUAGUUUUUCCUCCAUUGCUCCUUUGAAUAACUAUGUCGCUGGUACCUUAUACUUGCAACGAGCUAUUAUUAGCCAGUUUAACCUUGAUCUUCUUCGACAAAUCGAAAUCUAUUAACCACACUUUUAGACCAGCCAUGUGAUUCGAGUAGCCUGAGUCGAGGAACCAGAUCUUGGAGUCGAUAUGGUCCUCUAUAAUUGCAGACAUGACCAUCAUAUCAUCAUAAUCAUCUGAAUCUUGGUGUGCAAGGUUCGCUUUUUCCAUCUUGCCUUUUUUCGCUCUCUUGUCUUUAUUGUACCAACAAUUCUUGGCCACGUGACCCCAUUUUCCGUAGUUAUAGCACCGCACACCUUUUUUCUCUUUAUCUUUUUGAUAAAAGUUUCCUUCUCCUAUUUUUGAGGAUUCAAAAGCCCUAUCAUCGAUCUUAUGCUUUUGAGGAUUCAACCAAGACUUCUUGCUCUAAGUCUUAUCUCUUAUCUCCUUUUCCUUUGGACUUGUUGGAAACAUCAUGCUUCUUCCAAGCUUGAGCCUGCAAUGCUUGUAUCGAAUCUUGAACCCAUUUCCUUUUAACAAUCCUAAUCUCAUGCGCCUCUAAUGAACCAACCAAAUCUUCUAGUUUCAUGGUUUCAAGAUUGUUGGAUUUUUGAAUAGAUACAAUAAUGUGAUUAAAGUGAGAGGUCAACGUACAUAUUACCUUCUCAACAAUCAUCUUAUCAGUUAGGGUUUUACCAUAACACUUCAUGAGAUAGACGAGAUUCUUCACUUUCGACACAUAGCCUAUAAUCUUUUCAUCUUCUCCCAUCUGCAGCAAUUCAUACGAUCGUCACAAAUUCUACAAUUUGAUGACUUUAACUUUCUCACCUCCUUCAUAGUACUUAACAAGAAAAUCCCAUGCCUCAUUCGCCAAUUCAAAAUGAGAGAUCUUAUCGAAAUUCGCCGAAUCUACCGCCGAUUGAAUGCAAUACGCAACCUUGCAAUCUUUCUUCUUCGCCUCCUUGUGCGCGAUUCUCUGAGCAUUAGUUGCAUUCUCAGCAAGCUCAGGGAUGCCAUUAGUAACCACUUCUUAGGUUUCAUGAAAGCCAAAAAAGGAUUGCAUCUGUUUUCUCCAUCGGAUCCAAUUCUUGCCUUCAAGAAUUGGAGGAGAAUUCAGAAUGUCAUUCAUACCAUUCAUCUUUGAAGCUAUUUAUUAACAGCCCAUGAUCCCGGAAACACGCCCAACGACAUGUGAUUCUUGAAAACACAAUCAAGAAUCUAGUCGGAGCUCUAGAUACCAAUUUGUUAGUGCAUGAAGCAUUUUUUUAGGAGAGAAAUGAUCCCGGAAACACGCCCAACGACAUGUGAUUCUUGAAAACACAAUCAAGAAUCUAGUCGGAGCUCUAGAUACCAAUUUGUUAGUGCAUGAAGCAUUUUUUUAGGAGAGAGAGAGAGAGAGAGAGAGAGAGAGAGAGAGAGAGAAUAUGAAAAUAAUGAUUACUAUUAUUAAAGAAUGAUUGUGUUACAAACUGAUUUACAUAUGCAUGUAUUUUAUAUGCAAAGUUACUUGACUACUAAGUAACAAACCCUAAACCCUAAUUGACUUUGAGCUUAGACCACACACAAUUUAGAUUAUAUCUUAUAUCUCAACAAAUACAAGAAUGUAAAAUAGGAUGAGAAAUAAGGGAACAUAUAUCUUUUUCAUAAAAAAACUUCCAUAUUUAUCCUUAUUUUAUGUAUGCGAAUUCCUGCUGUAAUUAGCAUGAAAAAGUGGAAAUUUGUGUUAACUAAUUGAGGUUAUAAUGGUUAACCGAUGAUUUAAAGAUCAUAUCAAAUCGGUCCAUUCAAACGAUUAGUUCAAUUUGAUUUUUUAUUUAUUAAUAUUUUUUAAAUGUGUGUGUGUGUGUGUGUGUGUGUGCGCGCACGCGUGUGUGCGCGUGUGAUUUGGGAGGACACACGUAUCAGUGUUACACAUCCAUUUACUUUCCACUCGGCCAAUUUUUACUAUUUAAUAAUAAUAUGCAAUAUCUAUAUAUAAAUAAAACUUAAUAUUUUAAAUCGGGGGCCAUGGCCACCCCUGUCCCAACGCGGCUCAGCCAUUGAGUCACAAUCAAAUACUCACUAGAGCCUGUUUUUCCCAUGUUUUUUAGGAAGUGGACCAAGGUUUUAAACUCGCGUCCUCUAAUGUGUCUACACCUUCCCACCGUAUUUUUUUGUGAGGAUUUGUGCGAAUGUGCGGCCCCGGCCCCGCCCCACCCUCAUUUUGUUUGCAAGGCGAGUCAAGGUUUAAGCCUUGGUGUUUUUUGCCAACAAUCUCUACCCUUCCUAUGAGAGGGUUACUUGUAGGACCGAGUACAAAGUUCUGGACUUAGUGUUGAGUGUAUAAUAGUUUAGUAGGCAAUGUCUUUGGAAUGUUUAAAAAGGGGUGAAUAUAACUCUUGGUGAGUUUGAAGUGCAGUAAAGUAAACGCAAUAAAAGACAAAAAUCUGAUGAAAGUAAAGGAAAUAAAGUAAAGACAAUUUGGUAAGUUUAAAUAACUGAUGAAUAUAAAUGGAGGAAAAUGUACAUUUUCUAUAGGGAGAUGACUCUUUUCUCAUAAACGCUUUGGUACUUCAAGUGUACUCCUACUUGCAAAUGCUAAAAAUGCCACCUUUGAAAUGAUCCCUAACACUUGCUUAAAUACUAAUAAAAAGUAACCGUCAGGAGGUUACGAGCCUAUCUUGAGAUGACAUAUGUCGGCCCACUUCUCCCAUAUACAUAAAUAAUUGCCCACGUUUCGGCCACCCACGAUCACUCCUCAUCAUGAAGAUACCCUUCGACUUAGACUGACUCUUUUGAUGUUGACCCAUGGAUUGUCCAAUUUCUCGUCGACCUCAUAUUUCGACGGACUUUCUAGUCGAGUAUGCUUUACCUUCUUUGGCUGAAAUUUGUCAGCUAACAAAUUUCCCCCUAAAAAGGCUGGUUUCCACUUGAGCUCGUCGAUCGAGGAACUUGCCUUUUGAUUAUUUAAAUUUCGACUAUCCGUCUUAUCAUUAAUUAUGGUUUAAGGUGUGAUGAUGAUUUUCCUGCAGCGCAGUUCCCUAGACAUUCCACCAUCAUUAUCAUUUAUCCUUAGAUCGUGGGAUUUCAGCUGAACCCACUAACUCUCUCACUACUUCUUCGUUAGACACUUGUCAAUCGAUUAGUGUCUGACUGUUCACCUUGCUAGCUUAUAAAUAGCUAUUUCUUCAUCGUCCAAGGUUUUCUGCUUCCAUAACCGCGCCUUCUCCUUGCACAUUUCUUCACAACUUUUGUAGUGAAACUGUCACCCAAGAAACUCCAAACUCAUCCUAUUUUCUUCAUCCCUUAAUGGCUUCUUCUUCCCACAUCAAAGAAAUUACUUCCUACGCCACUGGAAAUAACCCCAUUUCCUUUAAAAUUAAUGCCAAAGAAAGUAUGAACUACAUUCCUCAACCUGCUUCUUCUGAUGAAGCAGUGGUGAAGAAAUGGCAACGUCAGAUGUUGAUUCCAUUCAUGGUCGAUGGGAAACUGUUUGCGUUUCAUGGGCCUCUCGUGGAGCCAAAAUCUUCACCGAAAGUCGUUGCAGCUUUUUUCCCUGGAUAUGCACCUGCUGCUCCUCCCGCCUUCGACAAGUCCUCGUACUCGACGUUAGAUUCAUAGAGGCUAAAGCCAGAGUCUUCAGAUCCAUGCCUACUCCUAGCAACAAAGAGUAUCUGGCGUGGCUUAACAAGGUUAAGAGGAAACGCCAAGAUCAAUGGAGGAGUGCAGAGAUCUUCGACUUUAUUCAAAUAUUGAGGUAUGCCCAUCGCGUUAAUCCCUGUAUGUUACUAGCUUCUCUGUACUUCUGAGAGGGUUCGACCAACACCUUCCAGCUGCCAUGUGGGAUGCUAACACCCACACUCUUUGAUGUGGCAGCCAUCACUGGUCUUUCACCGUUGGGGGAAGUCUUCGACCCCAUACUUCCGACGGAAACUACUUUCUCGUUCAGUCGAGCCAGUCUCCAGAAUUACAUCUAGGAUCACCACAAUAAAGACUUCGUCGAGGUAUCUGAUGAAGAACACAUAGCCUUCUUCACACUAUGGCUUUCAUACUAUGUAUUUUGUCUCGACUCCUUGCAGAUAGUGAAGAGAUACAUCAACCUGGCAAUCCAAAUUCAUGAGGGUCGAUAGGUGUCUUUGGGAAAACUGCUAUUAGCCUUUUUAUAUCAGGCUUUGAGGCUUCCAACCCUGAAACUAAAACUCCUCUCUAACAUUCCUAAGGCCCCGAAUUUGUCGGGUCCCUUAUGGUUUUUACAACACUAGUUAAAUUCCACUUUCGAGUAUCAACAAGGCUAUCCCGUGUCGGAAUGCAUCGUGAGGUUAAAUGAAGAUCGGACAAUUGAAUGGGCUAGGUUGGCUUUGACAACAUGCCAAGAGACUCCUAACAAACAUAUCUUCAUGAAGUACCUGAAUAUGUUCAUCAUAGAAGAUAAGUUUGCUCCUGGCGUGGCUCCAUUUGUUGAUCGAACCUUCGGCCCAAAGUGGUUCAAAGAUCCUUUCCAGGUGGCUCUCCACAGGCUACGGCACAAUCAAACGCAAUAUGGAGAGCUUUUUUGACUCUUAUGUUGUUAUCUUACAGAAUUGAAAUAGGGCCGAAGGGAUACGGUUUCAUGAGUUAUCAACCCAAUUUGGUAGCUCUCCAGUUUGGUUAAGUCAAAUGGUUCCAAAACCUCUGGUAUCACAUGUAACCAAUACUGUAUGAUCUGGUCAAUCAUUAAAUGCCGAUGACCAUAAGGUUUGUCUUUGUUUCUGCGAAUCUACUCACCGCUAUGAACUUUCGGUGUUCAAAAUAAUCCUUUUUUACAACAAUUGAUUUUGACAAAUGGUGGGCCUCCUACCAGAGUCAUUCCUUUCCUAGUGACCAAUUUCUUCAGGAUAUGGUUGACUCUCUAUCCACCCUCGUCGAUAACAUACCACCUCCGCCACCGCCUGCUAACGCUCCCGACCACAUAAUCCAAACUGAUCAAGUCGAUGAAGCCCAAAAAAAGGUAUAUGUCACUAAUUUCAUUUCCUCUUUACCCGUGGAUGCAAAAAAAAACUGAAAGUUUCUGUUAUCAGGGUCGAAAGAGGGUCAUUCCCUUAUCUGAUCCAACUCUAGCCAAGCCUUCGAAGAAACAACGGGCGCCCUCGACUCCCAAUUCGUAGGUAUUGUGCAUCAAUAUCAUUAAAAUCUUCCACCUUAACAACUUUCAUUACCUUCUCACUUAUCUUGAAAUUCAAGUACCUGAAGAAGUACCUUUAGUCGAAAAUGAGGAAUCCGACGAUAGUGUGCAUUCGCAUAUUUUUCCAACGUCGAAGGCACCGCCCGGAACGCCCCAUACUCCUAUCCGAAGGAAAAAGGCUCAGGCCAAAAAGACUCCAUCGAAGGUGGCUCCUUCAACUUCGACCCUUGCAAUCCAAGAUGACCUCGAGGAAGCUUUAACCCCUCGUGAUUCAGAAAGGACUCCUACUGUUUCUCCAUCCCCCGUGGUCCUUCAGGUAUCCGUCCAUCUUUACCUCUACAAACUGUGGGUUUCUUUUUGUCCUGAGUUCUAAUACUUCUAUCUUCCAGGAACUCGUGGCCUCUCUAAUUCUGGCCGAAACUGUGGCCGAAGAUAAGACCGGCAAUCCCUCUGCCGACAUUGUCUUGAGUCCAUAAUGGCAAGCUAAGUUCCAAAGUGCCUCACCAGUGAUUCAACAAGAUCCUAUUUCCCCACCAACUCUAAAUCCGCCAAAUGCUGUUGACGAAAAUGUGUCCACCAAUGUUCUAACUUCGAGUGAGAUUAGGAUUAUCAAACAAUGGAACCCCACUGAGGCCGUUUGGAAACUACAACAACUUCGUCGUCGUUCGACCGAUGCGCCACCUCUGUCUUCGAUCAUUGCUCCUCCCUCAGAGCUAAAUGCUGAGGUCAUUUUCAUACUUCAACAACUUAAGGCGUCACUCUUCGAGAGAGACUUUUUACGUGCUCUUGAAAUAGAAGAAGGGUUAUCCCGUGAUAUUUUCAAAUUCCUUGACUCACUUUCCUUUCAUGAUCUUCCUACUUCAAUGGUCAAGUAUUUUGUCGAUUUUGAGGCCUUCUUCACUCAAUUUGUCAAGGAUCUUAACCUUCGUCAAAAUGCUGACCUUCAAAUCAAGAUGAAACUCAAUGAGGUAAGGCCUGAAUGGGACUCCGGUGAGGCAUGUGAGCAGAAACUCAACGAAUUUGAAACCAAAAAUAUGGAACGCCUUCGUCGACAAUAAGCCUUCGACUAGUAAAUCUCUGACUACCAAGCCCAGAUAGUUGAACUGAAUAGAAAAAUUAUUGAUGUGGAAGCGCAAAAGGCUUUCUUAGAGACGGCUGAGGAGAUUCCAGCGCAAGAGGUUGUCGACCGCGAGGUUCUAAAGGGGAUACCCAAUAGGGAAAAAAGCCCUCAAAAUUGAGGCCGAUAUCAAAUAACUGCAUGGAAAGAAGGUUUCUCUAGACAAUAGGAUUGUUCAUGAGAUAACCUCUUUUGAGGAUUUCAAAUCUAGAUUUCUCGUCUGAUCUCUUUUGUUUUCAUCCUGUAAGGUCAAUCGACCAUUUUUUGUAGCACCUUUUUGGGCCACUUAAUGAAUUAAUGAAUUUCGUCAUGUUUGGAUUUGGAUUUCUUGUAGCGUAGGUUUAUAUUUCUUUAAACAUUUCCCAUUAUCUCUCAAAACCCUUUGAUCCAUACCAAGUUCUCGGAUCUCAUAAGCAUUGUUGGUGAAUGUUCGGAUUAUCUGAAAUGGUCCCUCCUAUUUUUUAGACCAUUUUCCUAGAGUUCGAUCUCUUCGGUCCAUAGGCAGGAUUACUUUCCAAACAUAAUCAUCCAUUGUAAAGGUUUUUGCUCUUACCUUUCUGUUGUAUACUUUGGCCACACGUUCUUUCUAUCGUGUCAGUGUUUCCAUCGCAGCCAAUUUUUCUUCUCCCAAGUCGACCAGUUCGUCGAACAUCAUCUCCCAAUAUUGUUCAGACUGAAGAUCAUUCUUGCGUUGUACUCUGAUGGACUCCUAACAAAUUUCUAGUGGUAAUAUGGCAUCGUGCCCAAAUGUUAGUCGAAAAGGCGUCUAAUUUGUUGCCUCCUUUGAGGAUGUUCGACAAGCCCAUAGGAUUUGGUCCAAAGUCUUGUGCCAAUUCUUUGGCAUUUUGGAAACAUGUUUUCUAAUUAGACUUAUUAUCACUUUGUUGGCCGCUUCGACCUAGCCAUUCGCUUGUGUGUAAUAAGGUGUAGAAGUAACUAACCUAAAACCUGUUUCGACAACAAACUCUUACAUCUUUUGUCCCACAAACACCGAACCCUGAUCUGUGGUAAUGGUCUCUGAGAUGCCGAAUCGAUAUAUAAUAUGUUUUUGGACGAAUUCAAUCACCGCCUCCUGAUCCACUUUCACUAGAGGCACAACUUUGAUCCACUUAGUGAAGUAGUCUAUCCCGGCCAGGAUGAAUUUUUGUUGCUUCGAUGAGGCUGGUCGAAUCUCUCCAAUGACGUCUAACGCCCACCCCCCUAAAAGGCCAUGGCUUGAUGAUCACAUGCAAAUCACUCGCUGGCACUUGUUGAAUGCCUGCAUGCAUCUGGAAUUUAUGGCAUCCCUUGGCGAAAUCGAUACAAUCCUUCAACAUACCGGGCCAAUACACGCCUUGUCAGAACAACAACCAUUUCAUCUUGUGGCCUUCCUAGUGUGCGCCACAGGCUCCACUAUGCACCUCAGAUAUGGCCAUAUAUGCUGUCGUAUUUCCCAGACACUUAAGUAAUAAUCCUUCUGAUGUUUUCUUCGGCAAUUCAUUUCCUAGUAGCACAUAGCUCAAAGCUCUGUAUUUGAUUUUCCUAUCAGUGCUUCUGACUGGAUUCUCUAAAUAUUCCAAGAUUGGUUUUCUCCAGUCUGUUGGUGAUGAACUGUUGAUAGUGAAAACUCCAUGUCCCCAGGAAUUCUCGAAUCCAAAAUCUUUAGGACGUUCUUCGUCGAAUCAUUCAUCACAACUGCCAUUCCCGUCGAGGAUAUCUUCCCUUAGUGGUGGUGCUUCCGACACCAUCUUAUCCCGGACUUCAAUAAUAUCUUGGAAUUUCGACUUAGACAUCUUAUACCCGGAAGCGAUCUAGGCUAGAUCGCUGGCUUCUUGGUUUUCAUUUCUUGGCACAUGUUUUAUGUCAGCAACCUCAGAGUACUCCAACAGUUGUAUUGUUGUCAUAAAAUACUUCAACAAAUUUUCCUUGAUGCAUUUGUACUCGCAUGUGACCUGCUUGAUUAUCAAUUCUGAAUCUCCCCUUAACUCGAUUCUACUGGCUCCUAACUCUUUCAAGAUUCGAAGACCAGUUAUUAGGGCCUCGUACUCAGCUUCAUUGUUGGAACAUUUUUCGUUGAUCUUGCAAUUGAAUCUCGUCGGACCAUCCUGUGGGGAUGAUAUUAACACCCCGAAUCCUGUUCCAUCUUUGUGGCUUGACCCACUGAAAUAUAACCGCCACAAUUUUGUGUCAACCAUGUUUAGUGAAGGUUAGAUCAUGGCAUGAUCUACUAUAAAAUCUGCCACAAUUUGGCCCUUCAUGGCCUUUAAAGGUUUAUAUGUUAGAGAAAACUCUGUUAAAGCUAGUGCCCAUUUUCCAAUUUGGCUAUGCAGAAUAGGUUUAGACAACAUAUGGUUAAUAACAUCAUAAUGAGACGAAACAUAAACAUCAAUUGGUUUUAUAUAUUGCUUUAAUUUCAUACAGACAAAGUACAAGCAUAGGCACAAUUUCUCGAUGAGACUGUACCUAGUUUCAGCAUCUAUCAACAUUCUACUAGGUAACAUAUGGGUCUCUUAACACCAUUAAUAUCCUUUUGGGCCAACAUACUCCCUAUAGUUAUAUCCGACGUAGCAAUAUAUAAACUCAUAUUUUUUCGCCUACUAGGAGAUAACAAAAUGAGAGGCUUUAUAAGGUAACCCUUAAUGGCGUCGGAAGCCUCUUGUUGCUCUGGUCCCCAGUGAACAUCACUUUCCUUCUUAAUUUUGAGCAGUGGCGAAAGCACCUUCGUCUUACCACUUAGAUUCGAUAUGAACCAUCUUAAGAAGUUUAUCUUCCCCAACAAAGAUUGGAUCUGCUUCUUUGUCGAUGGGCUUUUGAGGUCUAAGAUCGCCUUUGUCUUGUUUUAAUUGAUCUUGAUGCCUCGUUUGUGUACCACAAACCCCAAGAAGUCUCUUGCGUGUACACUGAAAGCACAUUUUAAUGGAUUCAUUUUCAAUCCAUAUUUCCUCAUUCUAUCAAACGAGCAUCGAAGGUGAUCCAGGUGAUCUUCUUGUGAUGAAGAUUUUAUCACGAUAUCAUCAAUAUACACCUACAUAAAAUUUUCAAUGAAGUCAUGAAAUAUGCAUUCAUAGCUCUUUGAUAGGUCGCUCCUGCAUUUUUUAAACCAAACGGCAUCACGACCCAUUCGUAUGUCCCUAAAGCUCCAGGGCAUCGAAACGUUGUCUUGGGGACAUCAUCUUUAGCUAUAAGAAUUUGAUUGUAGCAAGAGUAACCAUCAAGCAUGCUCAGGUAUUGGAAACCUGUGGCCGAAUCGACCAUCAUUUUCUCCACGGGCAUCAAGUAUUCAUCCUUUGGCGUGGCGUUAUUUAGAUCUCUAAAAUUUAUACAGAUUCUAAGAGUUCUAUCUUUCUUAAUGAUGUGCACUAUAUUGGCUAACCAUUUGACGUACCUCGCAGUUCUGAUAAAGCAACUUUUGAAGAGUCUUUUGAUCUCCUACUUAAUUUUCAAGGUGAUUCCCAUAGCAAAUCAUCAAGAGUGUUGUUUCACUGGUCUUUUCCCAGGUUAGAUAGGCAGUCGAUGUCCCACAAUGCUUCGAUUUAAACUAGGCAUUUCGUUAUAAUCCCAGGCAAAACAGUCUCUGUAUUCGGUCAAUACUUCAAUCAACUUCGCCUUCAUUUCUGACCCUACCUUAGUACUUAUAUAGGUUGGUCUUUUUGUGAUCCCGUCCCCUAGAUCGGUCUCUUCGAGGGGAUCUUGUGCUUGCAUCUUCUGGGAUUCAUUUGAUGGGUUAUUUUCGAACCCAAAGGCUCAUUGUUGUAGAUGCAAUCAAGCCUCCGGCUUUCCGAAGCUAUUACUUGGUCUUGUUGAGCAUCUUUCAAUCCUUCGGCCUCACAGGCCAAAUUUUGAAGCCUCUUCUUUUCCAGAAUCGACUUUCUCUUGUUUUAAGCCAAAUAGGACAAAAUUCGAGCCAAACUUUCUGACUCAGCAGUCAUCUUCAUCGACUGCAGGCCAUCCUGUAGGUGGAAUUCCCGUCUCUGAUCCAGUGUCUUCCUCAUUAUCCCAUAUGAAACCAUGAUCAGGGUCUAAGUGUUGGUGUAAGCCCUAGAGGCCAAUACUUUUGGUACUUGUAUUGAAUUAUUUAUUAAUAAUAAAAGGCUUUUUCUUUAUUACGGUUGUUUAAUAAAGUCCCUGGAAUAGAUAGUUCGUUUAAUGUAUCAAGUGUGACUUGAUCAUGAGAACACAUUAAACAUAAGGACACUAUUCUUAAAGUAUCCGUAGUCGAGCUUUAUUGUGAAGUGGGAUAACAUUAAAGCAUUAAGACUAUUAUGUUUGUAGACUGAUGAUCACAUCUCAUGGAUCAUGGAUAAAGAGUUAUCAAGUCUUAAACAUAGGUAUGAAUAUUAAGAGUAAUAUUUAUACCGGAUUGACCCGCUAUGAGAAUACUAUAUAGAAAGUUAUGCAAAGUGUCAUAAGUUAUUCUCAUGGUGAUAAUAGUGUAUUCCACUCUUCGACCUGAAACCACUAUGGAUCCUAGAUGUAGAGUCGAGUGCUUUAUUGCUGAUCCAACGUUGUCCGUAACUGGAUAACCAUAAAGACAGUUGAUGGGUACUCCACGAAGCAUGCUGAGGGACAUGAGUGACCUAGAUGGAAUUUGCCCAUCCUGCGUAACAGGAUAAAUGUCUAUGGGCCCAAUAUUGAACUGGACAAGGAUGACACGGUCUAUGCCUUGUGUUCAAUAUAGACAUAAGGGCAAAAGGGUAAUUAUACACAUAAUUAUUAUCACAGAAGGUUUUGUCAGAUCACAUGACAUUUUCGUGUCUUGGGUAGCAGUGAUGUGUUGCUAGAUACCGCUCACUGUUUAUUAUGUUAAAUGCGUGAUUUAAUAUAAUUGCCAACGUCACGAAAACCUACAGGGUCACACACAAAGGACGGAUUGAUGAGAGAUAGAGUAACUAAGGAAUACCGUAAGGUACGGUGCCCUUAAGUGAAUUAUAGAACAUCGUAAGGUACGGUGUACUUCAGUAGAAUACGAAAUAUGGUAAGAUACCAAAUGCUUAAGUGAUUUUGGGCAUAUUAUAAGAUAUGGGCCAAAAUACACUUAAGUGGGCUUUUUAGCUUGAAGCCCACACAAGUGGUUCUAUAAAUAGAACCCCUUGGGUAGAAGCAUUGUCACUCCAAUCCACUCAGACAGAAAUUCAAGUAGAGACUUGGAAUUUUGUUUCCCUCUUUCUCUCACUCAAAGCCUUCAUUCAUAACAGCUAGCACUGCGAUUGAAGGAAUCCGUUCGUGUGGACUGAGUAGAGACGUUGUCAUCGUUCAACGUUCGUGAUCGCCCCGUGGAUCUGUAUCAAAGGUUUUGAUCAUUAUCAGAGAUCUGCACCAAAGGUUUGAAUCGCCACAAGAGGUAACGAUUCUAUCACUGAUCAUGCCCAUUCGUAAGGAUCACUAAAUGGAGAAAUUUUUAAAUUCCGCUGCGCCUUGGAUGGCAAUUCUCCUUCAGUGGUAUCAGAGCCACUUACGAAACCAUGAAUCUGAUAACUGUUUUUGUUCUGUAAUAAUAUGAUUAAAGACAGAAUGAAUCAAAGGUUAAAUUGAGAUCGAUCAAGUUACAUAUAUGUGAUAUAUGUAAUCCUGAUGCAAAAUACAUUAUAUAUGAUAUAGUGUUCUCGUUUCGUUCAUUCAAACCCUCAAUGAUUGUUUUCCUUUGAGCGAUCAAUGGUCGUUUGCUUCUUGAUCCGACAUUAGUAUGGUGAAGCAAUGACGUGUUGAUCAAUCAUACUGAAUUAACAAUCGAGAUGUGUUUGACGGUCUGAAAUUGGUGCAUCAGGGUUAGUGACGGCACAAGGGUUGUGUUGUCAGAGAGUUAUGCGAUUGGGGUUGUGACUGCACAAGAGUUGUGCUUUCUAAACACUUUUUCGAACAGUGUUAACCGGUUAACGCAUAUGGUUAACCGGUUAACGGAAUGCGAAAUAAAUUUUUUGAGAUUUUCAAACAGUGUUAACCGGUUAACGCAUUUGGUUAACCGGUUAACGCAAGGCGGAAAACAGUUUUCCAAGAAAUUUUCAAACAGUGUUAACCGGUUAACGCAUAUGGUUAACCGGUUAACGCAAGGCAGAAAAGAAUUUUCUAAAAGUUUUCAAACAGUGUUAACCGGUUAACGCAUAUGGUUAACCGGUUAACGCAAGGAAAAAUUCACCCGUUCGGCUAGAAAAAGUGCUUUGAAGUAUCAAGUGUUGAUACGAAAAACGACGUCAAUUUUAAAUGAAUUGUUCAUUAAAAUUUUCGAGCAGGGGCGCUGCCCCCUUGACCCCUGUCCGCUGAACGGUCAGCGGAACCACCGUCCGCUGACCGGGCAGCGGAACACCCGUUCCCGCUGACCGGGCAGCGGACCCCCGGCUAACUCUGCGUAGUGUGAUCGGUCGUCGAAAUUUAAUUUGAUUUUAAUUAAUUAAAGGAAUUAAUAAUAAUAAUAAUAAAGUGUUUAUUAUUGUCUUGUGGUGAUCGGUUAUGGCCUUAGUUUUCCUUUGUUUUGUUUUGGGUUUUUAAAAUACGACCUGCGUGUCGUGCCUCUCUCUUAAUCUCCUUAAUGUAACUUCUUUUCUCAUCUCACUCCCUCGUAUGUAAAACGAGUUUCUUUUAUGUAAUGUAAUGUUAUGAAGAAAGAGAAGAAUUCAAUAUCAAAGGAGGACAACCUUGAAGAUCUUGCUUGGAGAAGCUUAGAUCGUUAUUAGGUUAGCUUAGGUUCUCUCAUUGGCUUGGGAGAACAAUUGCGCUAGGGGCCAUAACUGUUUCAUUUUGUUUGUAUGUAUGUUGAUGCAUGUGAAUGUAUGUUGAUGCAUGUGAGAGACGAUUUAUAUGAUAAACAAGUCGGUGAGAUAAGAAUUAUUGUAAAUUCCCUCAAAUAAAAUAUUAAGUUUAUGCUUUCCAAGUUUUAGCACUCAUCAAGACUAGUAUCGGAUAAUGUAGGUUUCGCCAAAGCGAGGUGCAUGUUCUAUAUUAGUAAGGUGCGAUGGGAUAAUUGUAAUAUCCAACUGCUAAAACGAUGGGUCAAACUUAAUUAUAAUAAUAUUAUAUAUGUUUAGAAGCAAGAGUUGGGAAUGAUCCAUAUGAUGGAUUGGAAUAAGGAGUUAUUCACCCAACUGAAAUUUUCGAGAGUUGUAUGAGAUACAAUUGGAAGGAGUUCCUACCUAAAUAACCUAGUUUUGUGUAAUCCGCCUACGCGGACUUAGAACGAAGUGAAAUAUGGAUCUCGACCCACUAGAAAAUCUUCCAACGGGAUUUUCCGAAUCAAAUGAUGAGGGUCAUUUGUUUUGAGUAAAAUAGUGGGAGCAUAUUUAAUUAAAGGCCUAAUUAAAUAUGUCAAUGAUACUUAUAUUUUCAUUAAUUCUUAUGUAGAUUACCAUGACAACAAACACCUCUAACAACAUCUUGCGAUCAAUCCUUGACAAGGAAAAAUUGUCUGGGACAAAUUUUCUGGAUUGGCACCGAAACCUGAGGAUUGUCCUCAAACAUGAUAAAAAGCUGUAUGUCUUGGAGAAACCUGUUCCUGAAGAGGAACCUCCUAGUUCUGCACCUAAGGCAGAAAGAGAUGCUUAUAAGAAGCAUGUCGAUGAUGCCAAUGAAACUGCUUGUCUCAUGCUAGCUACCAUGAACUCAGAGUUGCAAAAGCAACAUGAGAACAUGGCAGCGUUCGAUAUGAUCGAACACCUGAAGAUGCUCUAUCAAGAGCAAGCAAGGCAUGAAAGGUUUGAAGUUUCAAAAGCCCUUUUUCAAGGCAAGUUAGCUGAGGGAGCCCCUGUAGGUCCCCAUGUGCUCAAGAUGAUUGGGUAUGUGGAAAACCUUGAGAGGUUGGGUUUUCCCCUCGGAAAGGAACUUGCGACUGAUUUGAUCUUGCAAUCGUUGCCAGAUAGAUUCAGUCAAUUUGUCCUAAAUUUCAAUAUGAAUGAUAUGGACAAAUCUCUUCCUGAACUGCUAGCCAUGUUAAGAACUGCUGAGCAGAAUCUGAAGUCAAAAGGGAAGUCCAUUCUGAUGAUCGGAAAUGGAAAGAGACAGAACAAAAGGCCCACCAAGCAGGGUGAUAAAGGGAAAGGCAAGGAAGUUGCCAAACCCAAACCCACCGUUGCUGCUUUGAAGCCUAGUGGAGGCAUAGCAAAAGAAGGCACCUGCUUCCAUUGCGGUAAGACCGGACACUGGAAGAGAAACUGCCCAAAGUACCUGGAAGAUAAGAAGAAUGGAGUAGAGACUUCAACUUCAGGUAUUUUUGUUAUUGAAAUUAAUUUAUCUACUUCUGCAUCAUGGGUAUUAGAUACUGGAUGCGGUUCUCACAUUUGUACCAAUGUGCAGGGGCUAAAAAGGAGUAGAGAUUUGGCAAAAGGUGAAGUUGACCUACGAGUUGGCAAUGGAGCAAAGGUUGCUGCUUUAGCCGUAGGAACUUAUGUAUUGACUUUACCUAGUGGUUUAAUAAUUCAGUUAGAGAACUGUUAUUAUGUACCUGCAAUUAGCAGGAAUAUUAUUUCCGUUUCUUGUUUGGACAAGUUUGGUUUUUCAUUUAUAAUAAAGAACAAUUGUUGCUCAAUUUAUUUGAAUGAUAUAUUCUAUGCUACUGCACAAAUGAACAAUGGACUAUAUGUCCUUGAUCUUGAAAUGCCUAUUUAUAACAUUAAUACUAAAAGGAUGAAACCUAAUGAGUUAAAUCCAACUUACCUUUGGCAUUGUCGAUUAGGCCACAUAAAUGAGAAACGCAUUUCCAAACUCCAUAAAGAUGGACUCUUGGACUCUUUUGAUUAUGAAUCAUAUGAGACAUGCAGAUCUUGUUUAAUUGGAAAGAUGACAAAGUCUCCAUUCACAGGAAAAGGUGAAAGAGCUAAUGAUCUUUUGGCCCUCAUACAUACUGAUGUAUGUGGACCACUGAACAUACCAGCCAGAGGAGGUUUUCAGUACUUCAUCACAUUUACUGAUGAUUUCAGUAGAUAUGGUUAUGUGUAUUUAAUGAAACACAAAUCAGAGUCCUUUGAAAAGUUCAAGGAAUUCAAGAAUGAAGUACAAAACCAACUAGGUAAGAAUAUUAAAACUCUUCGAUCAGAUCGAGGUGGUGAGUAUUUAAGCCUAGAGUUUGAUGACCAUCUGAAAGAGUGUGGGAUCCUAUCCCAACUUACUCCUCCUGGAACACCCCAAUGGAAUGGUGUAUCUGAGAGAAGAAAUCGAACCCUGUUAGACAUGGUCCGAUCCAUGAUGAGUCACGCCGAUCUUCCAAACUCCUUUUGGGGACAUGCACUAUUGACAGCAGCUUACACACUUAACCGUGUUCCAUCCAAAAAGGUUGAGAAGACACCAUAUGAGAUAUGGAGUGGUAAGAAACCACAUAUGUCUUACAUGAAGAUUUGGGGUUGCGAAGUUUAUGUGAAACGACAAAUUUCAACUAAGCUUGAGCCCAAAUCUGACAAAUGCUUAUUUGUGGGGUAUCCUAAAGAAACAAGAGGGUAUUACUUCUACAAUCCUUCUGAGGGCAAAGUGUUUGUCGCUCGAACUGGAGUUUUCCUAGAAAAGGAUUUUAUUUCCAAAGGAAUCAGUGGGAGGAAAGUAGAGCUUGAAGAAAUUCAAGAAUCACAAAGCAUCGAUACACCUAUGGAGGAAUUAGAGCAGGAAACACAAGUAGUUGUGGAAGAGCAACCUGCUCAAGUAGAACAAGACCAGCGUAGGUCAAGCAGGAUACGUCACCUACCUGAGAGAUAUGGAUAUCUCAUAACUGAUCAAGGUGAUGUAUUACUCAUGGAUCAAGAUGAGCCUGUGACCUACCAAGAGGCCAUAACUGGUCCCGAGUCUGAGAAGUGGCUAGAAGCCAUGAAAUCUGAAAUGGAUUCCAUGUACACAAACCAAGUUUGGACCUUGGUAGAGCCUCCUGUAGGAGUUAACCCUAUAGGAUGCAAGUGGGUCUUCAAAAAGAAGACUGACAUGGAUGGUAAGGUACAUACCUAUAAGGCAAGACUGGUUGCAAAAGGAUAUAAACAAAUUCAUGGGGUUGACUAUGAUGAAACCUUUUCACCAGUUGCAAUGCUUAAAUCUGUUCGGAUUUUACUUGCUAUCGCUGCAUAUCAUGAUUAUGAAAUAUGGCAGAUGGAUGUCAAAACUGCUUUCCUUAAUGGGAAUCUUCUUGAGGAUGUGUACAUGACACAGCCUGAAGGAUUUGACAUACCAGAAGAAGCCCAAAAGAUAUGUAAGUUACAAAGAUCAAUCUAUGGAUUGAAGCAAGCUUCCAGAAGCUGGAAUCUUCGUUUUGAUGAAACAGUAAAACAAUAUGGAUUCAUCAAGAACGAAGAUGAGCCUUGUGUCUACAAGAAGGUUAGUGGGAGCAUGAUCGUUUUCCUGGUAUUAUAUGUAGAUGACAUAUUACUCAUUGGAAACGAUAUCCCUACCCUACAACAAGUAAAGUCUUGGUUGGGGAAAUGCUUUUCUAUGAAGGACCUAGGUGAAGCAGCCUAUAUAUUAGGAAUCAGAAUCUAUAGAGAUAGAUCACAAAAACUGCUUGGCCUAAGUCAGAGUACAUACAUAGACAAAGUGCUGAGACGCUUUAAUAUGCAUGAUUCCAAGAAAGGAUUCAUACCUAUGCAACAUGGCCUGUGUCUAUCAAAAACACAAUCCCCUUCAACUAAGGAAGAAAGGGAUCGCAUGAAUAAGAUUCCAUAUGCAUCUGCAAUAGGAUCUAUCAUGUAUGCCAUGUUAUGUACUCGACCAGAUGUCUCGUAUGCUUUAAGUGCAACGAGUAGGUACCAAUCUGAUCCUGGUGAUGCUCAUUGGGUAGCUGUCAAGAAUAUCCUUAAGUAUUUGAGAAGGACUAAGGACUCAUUCUUGAUAUAUGGAGGUCAGGAAGAGUUGGCUGUAAUUGGAUACACCGAUGCUAGCUUCCAGACAGAUAAGGAUGACUUUAGAUCGCAAUCUGGUUAUGUGUUUUGCUUAAACGGUGGCGCUGUGAGCUGGAAAAGUUCAAAGCAAGAUACAGUUGCUGAUUCUACAACCGAGGCCGAGUAUAUUGCUGCCUCAAGUGCAGCAAAGGAAGCUGUUUGGAUCAAAAAGUUCAUUAGUGAACUUGGCAUAGUCCCUAGCAUUGUGGAUCCCAUUGGUCUCUAUUAUGAUAACAAUGGUGCUAUCGCACAAGCUAAGGAGCCUAGAUCUCACCAACGAUCCAAACACAUACUUAGGCGUUAUCAUCUCAUUCGAGAGAUAAUAGAUAGAGGAGAUGUGAAAAUAUGUAAAGUACCUACACUUGACAAUAUAGCUGACCCACUGACAAAGCCUCUUGCGCAGCAGAAGCAUGAUGGCCAUACUAGAUCAAUGGGCAUACGGGGUAUGCCUGAUUGGCUCUAGUGCUAGUGGGAGAUUGUUGGUGUAAGCCCUAGAGGCCAAUACUUUUGGUACUUGUAUCGAAUUAUUUAUUAAUAAUAAAAGGCAUUUUCUUUAUUAUGGUUGAUUAAUAAAGUCCCUGGAAUAGAUAGUCCGUUUAAUGUAUUAAGUGUGACUUAAUCAUGAGAACACAUUAAACAUAAGGACACUAUUCUUAAAGUAUCCGUAGUCGAGCUUUAGUGUGAAGUGGGAUAACAUUAAAGCAUUAAGACUAUUAUGUUUGUAGACUGAUGAUCACAUCUCAUGGAUCAUGGAUAAAGAGUUAUCAAGUCUUAAACAUAGGUAUGAAUAUUAGGAGUAAUAUUUAUACCGGAUUGACCCGCUAUGAGAAUACUAUAUAGAAAGUUAUGCAAAGUGUCAUAAGUUAUUCUCAUGGUGAUAAUAGUGUAUACCACUCUUCGACCUGAAACCACUAUGGAUCCUAGAUGUAGAGUCGAGUGCUUUAUUGCUGAUCCAACGUUGUCCGUAACUGGAUAACCAUAAAGACAGUUGAUGGGUACUCCACGAAGCAUGCUGAGGGACAUGAGUGUCCUAGAUGGAAUUUGCCAAUCCUGCGUAACAGGAUAAAUGUCUAUGGGCCCAAUAUUGAACUGGACAAGGGUGACACGGUCUAUACCUUGUGUUCAAUAUAGACAUAAGGGCAAAGGGGUAAUUAUACACAUAAUUAUUAUCACAGGAGGUUUUGUCAGAUCACAUGACAUUUUCGUGUCUUGGGUAGCAGUGAUGUGUUGCUAGAUACCGCUCACUGUUUAUUAUGUUAAAUGCGUGAUUUAAUAUAAUUGCCAAUGCCGCGAAAACCUAUAGGGUCACACACAAAGGACGGAUUGAUGAGAGAUAGAGUAACUAAGGAACACCGUAAGGUACGGUGCACUUAAGUGGGAGACGAAAUAUGGUAAGGUACCAAAUACUUAAGUGAUUUUGGGCAUAUUAUAAGAUAUGGGCCAAAAUACACUUAAGUGGGCUUUUUAGCUUGAAGCCCACACAAGUGGUUCUAUAAAUAGAACCCCUUGGGUAGAAGCAUUGUCACUCCAAUCCACUCAGACAGAAAUUCAAGUAGAGACUUGGAAUUUUGUUUCCCUCUUUCUCUCACUCAAAGCCUUCAUUCAUAACAGCUAGCACUGCGAUUGAAGGAAUCCGUUCGUGUGGACUGAGUAGAGACGUUGUCAUCGUUCAACGUUCGUGAUCGCUCCGUGGAUUUGUAUCCAAGGUUUUGAUUGUUACAAGAGAUCUGCACCAAAGGUUUGAAUCGCCACAAAAGGUAACGAUUCUAUCACUGAUCAUGCCCAUUCGUAAGGAUCACUAAAUGGAGAAAUUUUUAAAUUCCGUUGCACCUUGGAUGGCAAUUCUCCUACACUAAGUUCAGAACUCAGCCAGUUUUGAUGGAAGUAUAGGAACCUGAUUCGUCAUCACAUGGCACUAUAUUCGCCAAGUAUUGGUAGAAAUAUCUCUUUGAUUAUGGCGCAGGGUAUGGAGAAACUACCCGGGUCUUUUAGUUUGGGAGGCAUGUUAUUCUGGAUUAUGGCGCUACACUCGGCAGUAAGUGUAACUGUUUCGUCAUCCUCAAUCUUUUUCUUAUUGGAUAGAAUUUCCUUAAGAAAUUUGGCAUAGGAGGGCAUUUGUGUGAUGGCUUCUGUAAAGGGUAUCGUAAUGUUUAAUUGCUUCAGAAGCUCAACAAAUUUCCUAAAUUGAUUCGCAGUUUUAGAACUUUUUAGUCUUUGAGGAUAUGGAAUGGGUGGUUUAUAAGGAGGUGGAGGCACAUAAGGUUUCUCUUUCUCUUUGGCCUCCUGGGUAUUAUCCUCUGUUUCCUUUGGUUCAUUCACCUGCUCAGUUGAGGUUUUAUCUGGUUUUUGGUACAUGGCAGGGUUUUGGAGUCUCGGAUCUACGGGUCUGUAAGACCCUAAUUUUGACCCUAAGAUCCCUCAUGGCAUCAUAACAUUGCAUUUGCAUAGCCUCAAGGAUCAUAAGCAUCUUGGUUCCCUUUGCCUUUGGGUGGGACCUCUUGUGAGUGGUUUGAGAUCACCAAGCAUGCUUGAAUUGUAUAUUAUUUCUUUUCUCAUUUUUAUUAACUCAAAAGCACAAAAAAUAUGUCACUAACAUUUCUUGUUUGUAGNNNNNNNNNNNNNNNNNNNNNNNNNNNNNNNNNNNNNNNNNNNNNNNNNNNNNNNNNNNNNNNNNNNNNNNNNNNNNNNNNNNNNNNNNNNNNNNNNNNNNNNNNNNNNNNNNNNNNNNNNNNNNNNNNNNNNNNNNNNNNNNNNNNNNNNNNNNNNNNNNNNNNNNNNNNNNNNNNNNNNNNNNNNNNNNNNNNNNNNNNNNNNNNNNNNNNNNNNNNNNNNNNNNNNNNNNNNNNNNNNNNNNNNNNNNNNNNNNNNNNNNNNNNNNNNNNNNNNNNNNNNNNNNNNNNNNNNNNNNNNNNNNNNNNNNNNNNNNNNNNNNNNNNNNNNNNNNNNNNNNNNNNNNNNNNNNNNNNNNNNNNNNNNNNNNNNNNNNNNNNNNNNNNNNNNNNNNNNNNNNNNNNNNNNNNNNNNNNNNNNNNNNNNNNNNNNNNNNNNNNNNNNNNNNNNNNNNNNNNNNNNNNNNNNNNNNNNNNNNNNNNNNNNNNNNNNAAUUUUGACCCUAAGAUCCCUCAUGGCAUCAUAACAUUGCAUUUGCAUAGCCUCAAGGAUCAUAAGCAUCUUGGUUCCCUUUGCCUUUGGGUGGGACCUCUUGUGAGUGGUUUGAGAUCACCAAGCAUGCUUGAAUUGUAUAUUAUUUCUUUUCUCAUUUUUAUUAACUCAAAAGCACAAAAAAUAUGUCACUAACAUUUCUUGUUUGUAGCUUGAGCAUUCAUAAGGUCAAAAAGCUUCUAGGAGAUCCUAUGUGCAAUGAUGUCAAGAGAAGAUGAAAGCAAGCAUGGUAAUGGUUCCCAAAGCUCUAAUCCAUAAAAUAUUCUUCCCAAGUAUCUCAAUUCAUCAUUUUGAUCAAAGCAAGUCAAGGGGUUUGAGGUUUGUUUCCCAAGGAAACCCUAAUUCAUCUGUUCAUCAAUUGUGCCUUGCUCAUGAAGCAACCUCAACCCAUGGUCAAAUAAAAUCAAGGGAAUUUAUUUAAUUCAUCAUUUCAUGCAUAUUUUAACUUAUUUGAGUGUCCUCAAUCAUCAAUUCAUCAAGAUAUGAGUGUGGACUUGAGAAGUUAAUCAGUCAAUUCAUCUGACUAUUUUGAAAUACACUGAGAUCUAACUUUUUAUGUGUUCGUCAAAUGGAGAUGACCCCAAGAUAAAAAAUGUUCUUAAGGACAAUAUAAACAACUUUCAUGUUUAUCAAAAUUUGAUUUGAAGCUUGGAAGGUCAUCAUCCAUUCCAAGACAUUAUAGGUCAUUUUGACUGAAACCCUAAUUUUGGGUCAACUUCCCAAGAACAUAACUCAUUCAUUUUUCAUUAUUUUAGGAUGAGACUUAAUUAAUUGGAAAUCUUAUUGUGUCUAAUUCAAAUGUUAUGUUGAGCAAAAGUGCAAAAUCUCAAAAGAAAUACAUGUGAUAAUGCAAAACAUUAUAGGUCACUUUGGGCCAAAUGCAUUGAAAUGUGAAAAAGUCCAACUUCAAGUGCCCAUAACUUCUUCAUUAAAAAUCCAAAUGAUAAUAAUGCAAAACAUUAUAGGUCACUUUGGGCCAAAUGCAUUGAAAUGUGAAAAAGUCCAACUUCAAGUGCCCAUAACUUCUUCAUUAAAAAUCCAAAUGAUGCAAAAUUUAAGUCCAAAUUGAUUUUUUUGGAAAUGUCUACAACUAUCAUGUUGAAGAUUUUAUCAUUUGGAGCUUGCAUCAUUGAAACAGAAGGGCUUGAACAUUGGCCAAGUUUGGAAACUUCAUAUAUGCAUGUUUUGCACCCUACACUUCAAGCUCAAAUUUCACUAAUUUCCAAGGCACAAUUGGAGUUUUGAUCAACAUAGCAUUUGUUCCUUAUGCAACAAGCUUUCUAACCAUUACUCAUAAGGUUGCAUUUAGAUUUUGGAAGCAUCAUUUUCGAAGACAUGAAGAAUUAAGUGCAUUUUGUGAAAGCUAUUCCAAUUGCCAUGCAUUAGCUGAUUACAUCAAAUGUACACGUCCAUUUGCCUUUCACAUGAACUCGGCAAGUUGUUUCAACCUUCAUUGGGCCUUCCACAUGCUCACACAGGCCCAUGCAAUUCAAAAUCCAUUUGCCAUGCACACGAGUUAGCUCAUGCAUUUAGCUCUCUCCAUCUAUAAAUACCAUGCCUUGCCUUCACAAUUCUUCAACCUAAUGGCGCCUAAAUCCCUGCUGAAUUGAAUCCCCACCCAUACCAAAGGAACAAACUUCAUUUUUCUCCAAAAUUUUCAGAUCUGAAAUUCAAUUGCAUUGGUUGAAUUUUAAGAUCUAAAGUUCCUAAGCCUCUUCACUUUGAUCCAUUGAAGCUUCUGUUUGCAAAAGGAACCAAAGAGAGUGACUCAACUCUUCACAAUCCAAAGGUUUUGCUCCACUGAAAUUUGCUUCGAAUCUCAUCAUACUUUGCUCAAUUUGCCUUGAUCUUGUGUUGUCUGAAGUCCUCUCUAUAGAGGCAUCAUUAUUAUGUGCUUAAUUGUUGAAAUCGAGCAAGUUUAGUUGAACACCACCAAACUUCCAUCUCUGAUUUCUCUCUUAAUAGGAAUCUAGAGUGGAAUUGAGUGGCAUAGGAGUGAUGUACAUCAUUUCACCUUUCGAAUGGUGCCUGGAUCGUGCAUUUUAGUUAACAUUUGAAUCUCUGCAUUUUUGAACUCUCACCGGAGCUUGCCGAAGAAGACGGUGGCGCUGGCCACCGUCCGUUUGCCAGAUCCAAUCUGAGCCGUGCGAUGCAUUCUCCAUAUUUAAUCUCCAUGCUUCAUUGUUAUGACUUUUCUUUAAUAUCCAUGUGGUUGCAUUGACUGUGGAAUACGCUAGGCGCGCGCUUGUGGAUCCUUGGAUCUGUCAGCUCAAUUAAUGAGCUCAGAUCCAAGGGCUCAAGCUUUUUUUCCUUUUUUUAAUUCUGAUUUUAUUUUCUAUUUCAUUUUUAAAUUUCAUUUUCUAAAAUUCAUAUCUCUUUUAUUAUUGGUCCAAAAAUUAUGGGACCAAUUGCAUUAUUUCUCUUUUAAUUUCUAAUUUCUAAAAAUGAUUUUUAAUAUUUUUUAUUUUAUCAUUUUCUAUUUUUUUAGUAAUUUUCUCUUUUUUGGUUAUUUUUAAUUCAUUUUAAAUAGUUUUUAAUUUUAAAAAAAUACAAAAAUAUUUUCUCAACCUCUUUGAAUGAUGAUAGAUCUAUGAAAAAUAUUCUCAUCAAUUUAUUAAUUGAUUUGGGAUUUAUUUGAGAUUUUAGUUCAAUUAGGUUAUUUUUAUUCAUUUUUAAUUGAUUUAAAAUAGUUUCUGACUUUUAAAAAUGCUGAAAUUUUUUGUCAAGCUUUGUUUGA
RNAcentral lists this long non-coding RNA (29161 nucleotides) under Lathyrus oleraceus (garden pea). RNAcentral's name for it is "Pisum sativum (pea) long non-coding RNA (PSAT_LNC020200)". The record is from RNAcentral. Lineage: Eukaryota; Viridiplantae; Streptophyta; Magnoliopsida; Fabales; Fabaceae.